GUGCUUGCUUUAGCAACACAUAUACUAAAAUUGGAAUUAAAGAGGUUAGCAUGGCCUCUGCGCAAGGAUGACAAAUUUGUGAAAUGUUCUAUAUACUU
Dipodomys ordii (Ord's kangaroo rat) is the source of this 98-nucleotide small nuclear RNA. NCBI's taxonomy places the organism in Eukaryota, Metazoa, Chordata, Mammalia, Rodentia, Heteromyidae. The record is from Ensembl.